This 448-nucleotide ribosomal RNA is filed under the name uncultured bacterium. RNAcentral's name for it is "bacterial SSU rRNA". It matches the Rfam family "Bacterial small subunit ribosomal RNA", at positions 28 to 518 of the family's 1533-position model. The record is from RNAcentral.
GAUGAACGCUGGCGGCGUGCCUAAUACAUGCAAGUCGAGCGGUAACACUUCGGGUGACGAGCGGCGGACGGCUGAGUAACGCGUAGGAACGUACCCCAAACUGAGGGAUAAGCACCAGAAAUGGUGUCUAAUACCGCAUAUGGUCUUCGGAUUAAAGCUUCGGCGGUUUGGGAACGGCCUGCGUAUGAUUAGCUUGUUGGUGAGGUAAAAGCUCACCAAGGCGACGAUCAUUAGCUGGUCUGAGAGGAUGAUCAGCCAGACUGGGACUGAGACACGGCCCAGACUCCUACGGGAGGCAGCAGUAGGGAAUCUUCCACAAUGGGCGAAAGCCUGAUGGAGCAACGCCGCGUGCAGGAUGAAAGCCUUCGGGUCGUAAACUGCUUUUAUAUGCGAAGACUUCGACGGUAGCAUAUGAAUAAGGAUCGGCUAACUCCGUGCCAGCAGCCGC